This 84-nucleotide transfer RNA is filed under the name Pseudomonadota bacterium. RNAcentral's name for it is "tRNA-Leu". It matches the Rfam family "tRNA". Rfam says of the family: Transfer RNA (tRNA) molecules are approximately 80 nucleotides in length. Their secondary structure includes four short double-helical elements and three loops (D, anti-codon, and T loops). Further hydrogen bonds mediate the characteristic L-shaped molecular structure. tRNAs have two regions of fundamental functional importance: the anti-codon, which is responsible for specific mRNA codon recognition, and the 3' end, to which the tRNAs corresponding amino acid is attached (by aminoacyl-tRNA synthetases). tRNAs cope with the degeneracy of the genetic code in two manners: having more than one tRNA (with a specific anti-codon) for a particular amino acid; and 'wobble' base-pairing, i.e. permitting non-standard base-pairing at the 3rd anti-codon position. The record is from RNAcentral. Lineage: Bacteria; Pseudomonadati; Pseudomonadota. RNAcentral also lists the same sequence under 1 other name.
GGGGCGGUGGCGGAACAGGCAGACGCCGCGGACUUAAAAUCCGCUAUCCUUCGGGAUGUGAGGGUUCGAUUCCCUCCCGCCCCA